GUGUUGUCUUUGGCAACACAUAUACUAAAAUUGGAACAAUAGAGAUUAGCAUGGCCCCUGCACAAAGAUGAGGCACAAACACAUAAAAUGGUAAAAAAAAAA
This is a small nuclear RNA of Cervus hanglu yarkandensis (Yarkand deer), 102 nucleotides long. The record is from Ensembl. NCBI's taxonomy places the organism in Eukaryota, Metazoa, Chordata, Mammalia, Artiodactyla, Cervidae.